This 84-nucleotide transfer RNA is filed under the name Candidatus Portiera aleyrodidarum (primary endosymbiont of Bemisia tabaci). RNAcentral describes it as "tRNA-Leu (TAG) (tRNA-Leu-TAG-1-1)". It matches the Rfam family "tRNA". From Rfam's summary of the family: Transfer RNA (tRNA) molecules are approximately 80 nucleotides in length. Their secondary structure includes four short double-helical elements and three loops (D, anti-codon, and T loops). The record is from RNAcentral. Lineage: Bacteria; Pseudomonadati; Pseudomonadota; Gammaproteobacteria; Johnevansiales (SeqCode); Johnevansiaceae (SeqCode).
GCCGAGCUGGUGAAAUUGGUAUACACGCAGGUUUUAGGUACCUGUGUCCAAAAUGACGUGGGGGUUCAAAUCCCCCGCUCGGCA